AUAAUGGAGGUAGGCCAUUGGGUAGGUGGUACUUCAAUUCCGGCAGAAGAGGAGUUGACAGAGAAAGAGAGAAACGGCGUGGCUGAGAGAAACGAGCCGAGACAGAGUGGUCGAGGUGAAGGGAAAGGAAGAACGGAAUCCGGUGGAAAACGAGAAACGGGGGCAAGAAAGACAGGAAAAGAGAGACGACGUUCGUGGUAGGAGAAACGGCGCUGAAUAAUUGAGGAGCGAGCAAUUUAGGGAUGGUGAGUCUCCCUAUUACCGUCAACCCUGCUGAACGGACUCGCGAUCUUCCCUUUCUAUCGCGUUGCGGCCUUGUCAUCGAAAGCAGCUGCGAUUUUCGUGGCGAAGAAGUAUGCCUGCAAUAAUUAAAACCCCCUUACACUGUUAAUCGCGUUAAGGGAGCAUUUCGCUUAAUUAACUCGCGUCUUCUACACUGCGGCGUUCGUCUGGUAUUCCGAGAAAGGAGAAAGGGUGCGUACCAGUCAGUCUGUUCGCGCUCAGUUUCGAUUACAGCCGAGGGAUGACGCGCGGACGUCGCUUCUCCGCCAAAGAUCUUUCAUUGUCAAAGCUCCGAAAUUCGAGACGCCUCCCCUCAUCUCGUCAGAUUCUCGCGACGAUUAUAAAGCAGCACGCGGCAGGAUUUCGUUCGUGCAGCGAAAAUUACAGAGUAGUGGUGGAAUCGAAACGCUCGGACAUGAGUUAGACGAAUAAAGAGUAGCGGUCGUAAAAAGUCGCAUGUAGGUUGAAGACCGGAAAAUGCAUCGCGCGGAUGAACCACGACACCUCGCGUGCCGUUUUCGAUCUCCUAUGAGACAAGAUGUAACGUAAAAUGAUGUUACGGCUUCCACAUCCCAUUGAAAAGGAAGCGCAAAUUCCAUUUGUCGGCAGCACCGCGAAUAAAGACGUAGACGAACCUGGGGGAUAGCUUGCUAUCGAUUCGCGGUUCUUCCGGAAUAUUUACGUUCGAGCGAGCGAAGAUUGACCCGCCGCUGGAAUUUUGUUUAAGGUUCCACCGAGCAGACCCGUUUGGCGUUUCGCCAUGCCAGAAUCAAUUGCGAGAUAGCCGAAACCCAGAGACGCUUCCACGUUGCCGAAAAACCAUAUAGUAUGGAACAAUGGUGGAAUUCAGAAGGGAAAUCAACCGAAACUAUCGGACGAAUCGAUAAAAAUCUGAAAGUAGACGGGGAAGCAGCGUGUUCGAAUCCCAACGUGUCCUGUUUACCGCGUGGAGCGCGGCUAACUUGUCGUUUGUUGCCUAUAAAAAGAUCGAAAGAUCGCAAAACGGCCGAUAGAGAGCUCGGUGGUCCAGCGCGGGAACACGUAAAGCAAAAGGGGAAAGAAGGACGGAUGCAAAGAGAAAAACGCGAGGGGGAGAGAGAAGAAGAGAAGGAAAGCCGUAUAUCGAUGCGAGUAAGUACACAGGCGGUCGUGUCAGCGCGAGAGGGAUAUUUUUUCGAGAAGUCGCUUGAGAGACGCAUCUCGAUCGUGAAAGCGUGCUGGUCGGCCACCGGAAGUUGUCGCGCGUUUCCCCAACGAGGUAGGGGGAGAAAUAGCGUCGGGGCGAGGAUCGACGGGGCCUGGGUGUGCUGACGAGGAGGGAACAGAGGGAUCGACCAAGAACGACCAAGUGACACACACCAGAGACGACGCGAUAAAGAGGAAAGAGAGAAGAAAACAGAGACACGCGGAGAAAUGAAGAGAAGAACGAUAGAGACACGAACCGAAGAGAAGAGAAGAGAAGAGAAGAGAAGAGAAGAGAAGAGAAGAGAAGAGUAGAGAAGAGAAGAGAAAACAUGCGGCGCUUUUAAAUAUAGACGCGCGAGAGCGCGCGCAUAACCAUAGAUGCAGAGAAACAGAGAGGACCGCGUGUAUGCACGCAGAAGCGUGUUAUCAAAGGAUUGGAAGGCAGCCGAAGCGGCUCUGCAUGAAAUUUUGCGUGCAUUAUAAAUGCGCGCAGCCUUGCGGGUGGGAGCGAGACCGGCACUGUUCCUCCGAUAAAGACGAGAACAACGGAGAUCGAGAGACAGGUGAGCGAUGGGGAGAGGAACUGUUGGAGAGGAGAGGAGAAAAAGAGAAGAGCGGCGAGGAGAAGGCGAGGGCAGAGGAGAGGGAGAGACGCGUAUGGAGCCCUGACCAGGCAGGGUUAGGUUGGGCCUGAAACGUUGGUUGGACGCGACUCUAACCUACCGUAACGCUAUAAAAAUAACGGCUACCCUCGUCCUUCUUUCACGCGACAUGCCCACCAUCUGGCCCUCUUUAUUCUUCCUGCUGGAUUAUCCUGCUUCCUCGUCGCACGAGCGACGAUCUUCUAUUGGCGGCGUUACUCUGUUACGCACGGUGCAGCAGGGACGAUGAUCAUCGAACACAGAACAGAGGGAGGGACGUGUGUGUGCGCUGCUGAGGGCGGAAGGGGUACGUAGUGCAGGAGGAUAGAGAGAAAGAGUCCGUACGGUGUGCGUGUGUGCGUGCGUGUGUGUGUAUGUGUGAGCGAGCGCGCGUUUGCGAGCGUGUGUUUGUGCGCGCGCGAUCGGAAGAGGACAGCGGAGGGAUAAGAAAGAAGAGCCGUCCGGAGAAGAAGGUACUUACGCGUGUGCUUGCAUGCGUACGGAGCAUGUGUUACGUGAGAAGCCCGUUUACGUCGCGCAAAAAUUACUCUCGUUGUGUACGAUUGCCCCCGAUUCGAUGUCGAUUCGUCGUCGAUUCGUCGUCGAUUCGAACGCACCCGUUCGUAGUGGCUUUUCGCGUAAUCUGCCAGCAGGCUCUUUCGAUUCGUCCCGCUCGUUAUUCCUGGCCGAAGACUUUAUUAGUCGAGGGCUGGAGAGACGAACCUUUGAAUUUUCCACGCGUUUUCAACUGGAUUCACUGUGUCGAAAUCGAUCAUCCGUCUCUUGGAGUAAUUUUGUCGUUUGUAGUCGACGUUCGAUCCAUUCGCUGCGAGAAUAACGAACGGACGCAACUCGCGAUCGAAGGAGCGAGCAGCGGAUUAAAAUUUAAUUAAUCAUUAGGUGAUAAAAAAUUGGCUUGCCCGUUUAUUCGCUUUAACCAAACGCUCCUAAAUCAGAUUAACCAUCCCCUGUUCGAUGUUCUUUCCGAAUUAAUCCAUUUUUAAUUUCACUGUUAAGACUGUUUUUUAUUCGAAUUAUUUACACGGCAUUCGGAAAUUUCCAUCAACGUACUGUUCCGCCAAAAAUGGACGCUUUGAUCGUUGGUAAUUCCUCGGGAUCUGCUGUAAUCGCGUUCGCUCGUAGAAAACGAGGCGAAAAUAAAUAUUCGAAGAAGGAGGUGAAUCUUAAGGGGUGAGGAUCGAAAAGGGCGUCGAUUAAGAUUCCGACGCUCGAAGCUCGAUACACGAGGCAAGGAGGGAUAAAGGGUUACUACGAUGGCAGUCAUAUAAACGAGAUGGACGUUUCUCGAACCGGUUGGCACCUGCUCCACGGUGUGUUUCAGUCGGCCACGGCCUUUCGUUUAUAACGGAGAAGAACAAACCGAUCGAGGAGUGCAACGUGCAUCGUGGAUCGGCCAGUGGACAACGUGGAUCGGCGAGGGGAAGCGAGAGGGCAGGAAAGGCCGCGAAGAAAACGUGCAGCAAAACGGUCCGCUCCACACUUGCGGGCUAUCCUGUGAAGGUCGAUCUUCCGAACCAGAACAGUCGCGAGCUGUGAAUGCGAUCGUAUCUUUCGGAUUCACGCGUUCCGAUAAAUCGAACAGCGUCCGUUUAGUUUAAUACCGAUGCGCGAGCAAUGAUCGAGAUAUCGAAACGAAGAACGAGGACGAUACGACGAUGACGCAUCGUUGCCAGAUCGGGAUGGAAUGCAAACGAUGCGCCAAUCGGUAACCUCUUCGACUCUGCUGUCUGUCUUCCUCGUUCUUUUCUUCGUUUCCAGUUCUCAUCUUUUAUCGCUCGAUUUCUUUGGACGUCGACGCGAUGCACGAAACUCGUAAAAGUAAAAGUAAAAGUAGAUACGUAUCGGUAAGAUAGUUGGAACUGUUAUUGCUAUGACCGAGCUUUGAGCGAUGCCACAAGAAAUGGUAUUUGUACGUACAGUUGUCUUUUUAAAUCAGGUUCCAUAUUUCACUUCUAUAGUAUCAACUUUUUGCAGUGAUUUAAAUGUAUUACCAAAUGAGACGAAAUUUAAUACACCUACUGUAUACUUGGAUCUAAUUAAAUAGCGAAUGCUGUAACACGUACAACAGCGUAUAAAUUUCGUAUCGUAGAUCGUACGCGUAAAUUUUUUAUGGGUGACUUUACCAUUUAGCGAGAAGAAAGUGGAUCUCGGCGACAUAGCGCGACCACAUCGCAGUAGCAUGCAAAAGAAAAAAAAAAACUAUAUUUGUCGCUUGACAAGGAUUACUCGAAUAACGUACUCUAUUAUAUCAACGUCUGAGAAAUCAAAUUGAUCAACUCCAUUUUCUAUAAACCUGCAGUUGCAUUAUUCGAGAUGAUUAAGAA
This is a long non-coding RNA of Bombus impatiens (common eastern bumble bee), 4453 nucleotides long. RefSeq lists it as uncharacterized. Lineage: Eukaryota; Metazoa; Arthropoda; Insecta; Hymenoptera; Apidae. The record is from RefSeq and is a predicted model, not a curated record. The transcript has 2 exons.